This 460-nucleotide ribosomal RNA is filed under the name uncultured bacterium. Its description in RNAcentral is "partial 16S ribosomal RNA". It matches the Rfam family "Bacterial small subunit ribosomal RNA", at positions 338 to 795 of the family's 1533-position model. The record is from RNAcentral.
CCUACGGGCGGCAGCAGUGAGGAAUAUUGGUCAAUGGGCGCGAGCCUGAACCAGCCAAGUAGCGUGAAGGAUGACUGCCUUACGGGUUGUAAACUUCUUUUAUAAAGGAAUAAAGUGAGGCACGUGUGCCUUUUUGUAUGUACUUUAUGAAUAAGGAUCGGCUAACUCCGUGCCAGCAGCCGCGGUAAUACGGAGGAUCCGAGCGUUAUCCGGAUUUAUUGGGUUUAAAGGGAGCGUAGAUGGGUUGUUAAGUCAGUUGUGAAAGUUUGCGGCUCAACCGUAAAAUUGCAAUUGAUACUGGCAGUCUUGAGUACAGUUGAGGUAGGCGGAAUUCGUGGUGUAGCGGUGAAAUGCUUAGAUAUCACGAAGAACUCCGAUUGCGUAGGCAGGUUGCUGGGACGGUUCUGACACUAAGGCACGAAAGCGUAGGGAGCAAACGGGAUUAGAUACCCUGGUAGUC